CUGGUGAGUCUGGUUGCUGGUG
Molecule: microRNA, 22 nt
Filed under: Branchiostoma lanceolatum (amphioxus)
Lineage: Eukaryota; Metazoa; Chordata; Leptocardii; Amphioxiformes; Branchiostomatidae
Description: Bla-Mir-22-P2c_5p (mature (guide))
Source: RNAcentral